Molecule: long non-coding RNA, 634 nt
Organism: Rhipicephalus sanguineus (brown dog tick)
Lineage: Eukaryota; Metazoa; Arthropoda; Arachnida; Ixodida; Ixodidae
Exons: 4
Source: RefSeq, a predicted model, not a curated record
UACAUGUGCAGUAGCUCCGCCCCCGUAGCCUUCCCUUCAUUGCCAAGAAAAGUUGUCCUUGGGGGCGCUUUAGUUGUUUGACGGGUGCACGAUGCGCGCGGUUUGUGUGUGUGUGUGCCAUGCUGUGUUCUGCAAUGCUUCGUUACCACGUUUAUCGAUUAUGCACGUUGGUUACUUGAUUCAAUGUCAAGUGUACCUUCCAAGACGAUCUAGGUCCUAGUCUCGUGACUGAAGGCGAGUGCGGACGUACAGCAGCCUUUUGACAAGACUGUCGCCGAGUGUACGGUACAUUGUGGACUGUAAAGCUGAAGAGUGCACAGUGGAUGCCUGAUUUUGGAACCGAGUGUGAUCGUCUGGGCGGUGUGUUCACUCUGCGGGGAUGAUGGCCAGAGGAAGGAUGAUAGACAGACGACAGCUUGCAGACGAAGAUGGGAGCGUUCUACCUGUGAGCCUGGUCGAGCUUAUAUUUUAUGGAUACACAUGCAUGGAUACACAUACAUGGAUUCCCUACAAGGACCCUGCGCAUCAAAAGCAAUCUGUCAUCAAUGUUAAGUAGACAGAUUAAACGAAACGAAGAUAUGACAGGUGUACACCAUAUUUUUCUUUCAUUUAACCUCUGCAUGUUUCCCAGUCA